Long non-coding RNA from Perca flavescens (yellow perch), 491 nucleotides. RefSeq lists it as uncharacterized. The record is from RefSeq and is a predicted model, not a curated record. The transcript has 3 exons. Lineage: Eukaryota; Metazoa; Chordata; Actinopteri; Perciformes; Percidae.
ACUAGUUUAACCACGAACCUAUGCUAGGGAGUGUGUGUGUGCGACGUGGCACAUUGACACACUUUCCAUCCACAAACUUUAAAAAUAAAGUUGAGAUUUCACAUUCUUCUUUCUUCUCUUUUCCAGAGAUUUGGAAGAACACGACCUGAAAGUCUCCUUCAACGAGUAAACAUCUGAAGAGGUUGGGAGGCGUUGAUGCUGCAGACCAUGUGAAGAAGUCAAUGGCUGCAUAAAUGCUGUCUUGAGGUCAUUUGAUACAACUACAAUAAAAGUAGACGAAUACAUGGCCAAAUACUUGAAAUAUGCACCAGAGAGGAUGGGUGGCGGUGGCAGAAAGAAGUAACAAGAAGGGAAGGUUUAACCAGCCGUGUUCAAUGUUGCCCAAUGUUUGGGCCGUUUUACUAAAGGUUAAAGUUCGACACGUGUAAAAUGAUGUUGCGUGAAAUGUUUACACACUUGCAGCUAUGUAAUAAAGCAUGUUUCCUACGUCA